Molecule: transfer RNA, 76 nt
Filed under: Sorangium cellulosum
Lineage: Bacteria; Pseudomonadati; Myxococcota; Polyangiales; Polyangiaceae
Description: tRNA-Leu
Rfam family: tRNA
About the family: Transfer RNA (tRNA) molecules are approximately 80 nucleotides in length.
Source: RNAcentral
GCCCGGGUGGCGAAACGGCAAACGCUGCUGGCUUAGAACCAGCCGACUGGGGGUUCGAAUCCCUCCCCGGGCACCC